RNAcentral lists this ribosomal RNA (500 nucleotides) under uncultured bacterium. RNAcentral's name for it is "partial 16S ribosomal RNA". It matches the Rfam family "Bacterial small subunit ribosomal RNA", at positions 30 to 523 of the family's 1533-position model. The record is from RNAcentral.
AUUGAACGCUGGCGGAAUGCUUUACACAUGCAAGUCGAACGGCAGCACGGACUUCGGUCUGGUGGCGAGUGGCGAACGGGUGAGUAAUGUAUCGGAACGUGCCCAGUCGUGGGGGAUAACGUAGUGAAAAUUACGCUAAUACCGCAUACGAUCUAUGGAUGAAAGCGGGGGAUCGCAAGACCUCGCGCGAUUGGAGCGGCCGAUAUCAGAUUAGGUAGUUGGUGGGGUAAAGGCCCACCAAGCCAACGAUCUGUAGCUGGUCUGAGAGGACGACCAGCACCACUGGAACUGAGACACGGUCCAGACUCCUACGGGAGUCAGCAGUGGGGAAUUUUGGACAAUGGGCGAAAGCCUGAUCCAGCCAUUCCGCGUGCAGGAUAAAGGCCCUCGGGUUGUAAACUGCUUUUGUACAGAACGAAAAGGUUUCUACUAAUACUAGGAGCUCAUGACGGUACUGUAAGAAUAAGCACCGGCUAACUACGUGCCAGCCGCCGCAGUAA